This is a long non-coding RNA of Electrophorus electricus (electric eel), 2245 nucleotides long. Lineage: Eukaryota; Metazoa; Chordata; Actinopteri; Gymnotiformes; Gymnotidae. The record is from Ensembl.
CCGGAUAUCUGACAAGCAAAUCAAAACCAUUAGCUAGCUAGCUGCUCCUGUCACCUCUACUAUACCAACUGCCUAACAAGAUAAUAUAUAUAUAAAUACAGCUUAUAUAUAUUUGAAUACAUUUAUACAACACCGAAGAGCACUGGACUGAAAGCACCCAAGACAAAUGGCAGAUAACCUGAGUGAAGCCCUCAAGACACUGAAGCUCUCCUCAGCAGACAGCACCUCGGACAGUGUAGAGAACUGCCUGGACUGCCUGCUGAAAGCCUUGGCCCAAAACAAUGUGGAAGCGAGUGAAAAGAUUCAGGAGAUGGGUGUUCUUCCUAUGAUGCCUUCAUUAUUGGCUAUACAGAACUCCUGCACACCAAAAGUAGCCAACAUCAUAGCAGAAUUGGCGAAAAACGAGUUUAUGCGGAGUCCCUGUGUGGAGGCAGGGCUAAUUCCCCCUCUGGUGCAGCUGCUCAACUGCAAAGACCAGGAGGUGCUGCUUCAGACGGGUCGAGCCCUGGGCAACAUCUGCUAUGACAGCCACACACUGCAGGCCCAGCUGAUCAGCAUGGGGGUGAUCCCCACUCUGGUGCAGCUUCUCGGGGUCCACUCCCAGAAUACGGCCCUCACAGAAAUGUGCCUCAUUGCCUUCGGAAACCUGGCAGAACUGGAAUCGAGUAAGGAGCAGUUUGCGUCUACAAACAUCGCAGAGGAGCUAGUGAGACUGUUCCGGAAGCAGGUGGAGCAUGAAAAGAAGGAGAUGAUCUUUGAGGUGCUGGCUCCGCUGGCUGAGAACGAUGUGAUCAAGCUACAGCUGGUGGAGGCAGGCCUGGUGGAGUGUCUGUUGGAUGUGGUUGGUCAGACGGUGGACAGUGACAGAGAGGAGGACACGGCUCAGCUGAAAACCGCCUCUGACCUCAUGGUGCUGCUGCUGCUGGGAGACGAGUCAAUGCAGAAACUGUUUGAUGGGGGUAAAGGUAACGUGUUCCAGAGGGUUCUCUCCUGGGUUCCGUCUAACAGCCACCAGCUUCAGCUAGCUGGCGCCCUGGCCAUCGCAAACUUCGCCCGCAACGAUGGGAACUGCAUCCACAUGGUGGACACGGGCAUUGUGCAGAUGCUGCUGGACCUUCUGGACAGGCAUGUGGAGGAGGGCAACGUCACCGUCCAGCACGCUGCUCUCAGUGCCCUCAGGAACCUGGCCAUCCCAGUGGUGAACAAGUCUAAGAUGCUCACGGCCGGCGUGACCGACGUGGUGCUGAGGUUCCUCCCGUCCGAGAUGCCACCGGUUCAGUUCAAGCUGCUGGGAACGUUACGGAUGCUCAUCGACACACAAGCGGAUGCUGCAGAACAGUUGGGUAUGAACCGUAAGCUGGUAGAGAGGCUGGUGGAGUGGUGUGAGGCCAAGGACCAUGCAGGCGUGAUGGGAGAAUCCAACCGCCUGCUCUCAGCACUCAUUCGACACAGCAAGUCAAAGGAAGUUGUUCGGACAGUCAUUCAGUAUGGUGGUGUAAAGCACUUGGUUACCAUGGCAACGAGUGAACACAUGAUCAUGCAGAAUGAAGCACUGGUGGCCUUGGGUCUCAUAGCAGCACUAGAUUUAGAUUCAGCAGAGAAGGAUUUUGUAGGGGCCACACUAGUGCAGGUGCUGCACAAACUUCUGAUGGAGGAGAAGAGCGCUCCUGAGAUCAAAUACAACUCCAUGAUCCUCAUCUGCUCCGUCAUGGGCUCAGAGCCGCUUCAUAAAGAAGUGCAUAGCCUGGCCUUCAUUGACGUGGUGUCCAAGCUACGCACCCAUGAGAACAAAACGGUGUCCCACCAGGCCUCACUCACAGAACAGAGGCUAACGGCACAGAGCUAAAGGACUCUUGUACACCCCGCCCUCCUACAAACAUGUGCACACACACACACACACACACACUCUAUCCACUCUGCCUGCCAACCUUUCCUGUACACGCCCAUAACCUCCUAUUGACCUCACCAUCUCCCACUGUCGUGUGCCAAGGUAUCCCAUUCCUCUGCCCCCGCCCCUUCCCUGCUGUAACGACUCCUCCCUGCCCCCAUGCUGCCUGUGCAUGCGUUCCUGACUCCUGCAAAUAGGUUCUGUGAGAUACCAGAGAGCGCAUUUUCUUUUAAACAGACCGCAGCUGUGAUAUGAACGAAGCAUCCGCAUCUCAUGGAGGACGAAGACGACGGUUUUGAAAAUGCAAAAAAAAUAAUAAUAAUAAUAAAAAAAAAAUUUAAAAGUAGAUAAAAAACA